GAUGAAGAACGCAGCGAAAUGCGAUAAGUAAUGUGAAUUGCAGAAUUCAGUGAAUCAUCGAAUCUUUGAACGCACAUUGCGCCCCCUGGUAUUCCGGGGGGCACGCCUGUUCGAGCGUCAUUUCACCACUCAAGCCUCGCUUGGUAUUGGGCAACGCGGUCCGCCGCGUGCCUCAAAUCGACCGGCUGGGUCUUCUGUCCCCUAAGCGUUGUGGAAACUAUUCGCUAAAGGGUGUUCGGGAGGCUACGCCGUAAAACAACCCCAUUUCUAAGGUUGACCUCGGAUCAGGUAGGGAUACCCGCUGAACUUAAGCAUAUCAAUAAGCGGAGGA
Molecule: unclassified non-coding RNA, 331 nt
Filed under: soil metagenome
Description: partial contains 5.8S ribosomal RNA, internal transcribed spacer 2, and large subunit ribosomal RNA
Rfam family: 5.8S ribosomal RNA (bases 1-120)
Source: RNAcentral